CCCGUUCUAGCAGAAUGGUACGUUUGGAAAAGCAUUUCAAAGUUAGUCAAACAUUUAGAAGUUCAUUCGAUUUGUUAUUUUACAAAGCCAGUCACUCAGAGAUCGUAAAUCUCAGGAUCCUGCAAAUAUUUGUUGUAGAGCCGUCGGGAUGUGUCAAUAGCAUUUCCUGAGCUUCUCACCGGGUAAGCAUUCCUGCUGUUUUGCCAAUCAUUUGUGAGCUUGAUCCAUUCCCUCCUCCAAUCUUUCAGAGCAAAUUCAUUGCCAGUCUCCAAACUUUCUAAUAAAUAUUUGAAAUAUAUGGCUGCUCGGGGACCAUAGUAAUCUCGUAACAGUCCACUCCAGUACUUGUUUCCUAGAACAAAUGCAAGAAAUUAUGACACCAUCAGUGAACAGUAAUACCAGUGUGCUACAUGGAAGAAUGGUGGGAUGUAAAAAUGCAGGGCAAAGGGUGCUAGUAUGGUUGCAACUUAGACAGAUAGGAUCCCAUGCUUAAUUUAAGCUCAACCCAAAUUGGAAAACAAUUAACCAAAGUCUAAUCCAACUUGAUUGGAUUGAAAUCAAGUUAAUUGGAUUGUAUGAUUCAAAUUUUAUUUAUAAUAUUUUUUAAUAACUUUUUAAAAUACAUUUACCCCAAGUUUUAAAUAAUAAAUGUAAUAAAAUUUCAUGAUAAUAAUAAAGAAAUAAAUUUACAUAUCUUUCAAGUAAAAAGUAUAUUAUAAUUAUAAUUUUAUAUAUUUUUAAAGAAUUAAAAAAAAUUAUUAUAUAAGAUAAUAUAUAUUAUAAUUUAUGAAUAUAUUAAUCGGUUCGAAUUGGGCUCGGAUUGUCCCAACUUUCAUCCAGGCUCAACUCAAAUUGAGUUCGGAUCGGAAAAACUUCAACACUACUGAAUUACGCCUCUAGGUGGUAGGCAUGGAUGAGAGGGUACAGGAUGCAGUUAAGAUACUCCCCCGACUUCAAUUAGAUAUUGGGUAAUUAUACUGCAUGCACCUAAUGGGCUAGUCCGAGCUCUAUAGAACUGUAUCUCAAGGAAAAUUGGCAACAAUUGGUACUAUGGCUUAAUGCAUCAUCCUACCAUAAUCCCGAAGAAGACUUGCUUCAUCCUCUGUGUUGUCGAACCACAUCGUAAUUUGAGUCCUCGCGUUCCAUUCAAACUGCAUGUUGGACAACAUCUGUAAAUGGCCAUGUUAAUUCAAAUUUAAUUACAGUGUGCGCUUGACGAUUUCUCACCUGUAUUUCUUGUUGUUCAUCUUGGGCUAGUUGCUUGGCACUUUCUAACCAAGGUCCUAGAAGAAACCCGUCAUGGCAAGCUAAGAGAGUGUCCAUAUCUUCCACAAGUUCUAGAAACUUCUGGCUGUGGCAAGCAGCUCCGCGGACAUCAUUUAGCUGAUAGGCUUCUAUUACCUCUAAGAACAGUUGGUUUGCAUAUUUUGCCAAAGCUUGCCUUGUCAAGUCAACAAGGUCGUACCUGAGUAUACAAUGAAAAGGGCAUAGAUAAAAAAAAUGGAAAAGAAAAAUGAAAGAGAGAUACUAAAAAAGGCAUAUAUAAGAGUGUAAAAUGACAAAACAACAAAGAAAAUGAGCUGCUGAUACAUGUUAGCUGUUCUAAAAUCUACAGAUGCUAACCUGUAAGUGUUACUUCCUAAUAAUUGACCUCCACUUGCAAUAAAAAGUCCCAACGCAUCUUUCACUUCAGAAGUUGAAUACCAUAGAUGAGGUUGCUCGAAGGAAUUAGUUAUUUCCUUUAGGACUGUUCUUCUUGACACUGAUUUUCCAUAGCGGUGGUAACCUCCGGGCAUGGAUAAUUUUGGUGUAGGAAUAAAGGAUGGAUCAAUAUCUGGAAAUGCAACAAUCACAUCUCUGUUUUUGUCCUGUGACCAUGAUAUCACAAAGGUCCAAGAUUUCAAUCAAAAUGUCCAUGCUUAUAUUAAUGGCUAACCAGUUCCUGGUUAUGGAGCUUGAUGGAGGGAAUGCAAACAAAAUACGAGACAUAAUAUGUAUAGUUCUACUAAUCCACCUUCCCAUGCUAUAAGUGGACUGGAUACAACUUAGUAUAUAAAGUAGGACUUGUUAUCAAGUAGGGCCACUUACAUAGGAACCAUCUGUGCAGUUAUAAACUGUAUGAUAUAAUAUGUUCCAGGCAUCUUGUAUUUCUGGAACGGAUUUCCCAUAACGUCUGGUUGAAUACAGAGCAAUCCACACCUGAAAGAAGAGCAAGUAAAAUGAUGUUUUGAACUGAAAAAUCAUGAGGACAAUAAAAAGAAAAGACAUAAGUAUAUGUGCAGAAUUUGGCUAAUAUGUAGAUCCAGAAAACUAGUUUUAUGAAGGCUGAUAGAUUUUUAUUUUUAUUUUUAUUUAUUUAUUUAUUAUUAUUAUUAUUAUUAUUAUUAUUAUAAUUAUUAUUAUUAUUAUUAUUAUUAUUAUUAUUUUUGUUUACCUAUCAAAAUAAUAAUAAUAUAGAAAUUGCCAGAGAAUUUGAAGUAGAGAGUUGAACACACUGAUAAAGUAUGGGUAUCUAGAGAUAGUUCUUAUAAACACAUAGCAGAACAAAAACUUUGGUUUUUAUGGAUGUGUAUAUAUGCAUGUUUCUUUAUGUGUAUUCAACCUGUUUGCAGAGUUUGUAUGGCUGUGAAUAUACAUGUCUCUGUGUGUAUUCAACCUAUUUGCAUGCAAUAUUUAGAUACUAGCAUGGUUGGCCCUGAUUAAUGCUGUCUUGCUUAUGCAUGCACAUGGGGGAAAACCAGCAGAUAUGCCAGUAAAACCGUCACUGGAAACGAGAAUCAAUCGCAAUUCCUAAGGCAUGUUUUCUUUCUUUUAUGAUAGACAGCACCAGGUGUUGCCACAGGCAGUUCACGCUCAAAGCAGAGAUGGCAUAGGAAAGAGUAUGCUACACCACUUAAAAGCCACAGUAACUUGCAUUUUAAAUUUCCAAAAUCUUAAAGCAUUAAGAAAGAAACUUAACAGUACCUUCACAUCAACUUUGCUAUGUUGAAAUGCCAUUUCAGACAUGAGAUCGUAAACAACAGGAUUCUGUUCAAUACCCUCCAUUGACAUCCCAACACCAACCUUCAGAAAAGUAACUAGAUAGAUUAAGAAACACAAAAAGUAACUAGAUAGACUAGGAUACACAAACAAACCAGAUAAUAAAAAUAUCAGUGAAAAAUUAUGCAGAAGUUGUGCUUUGUGCGAGAGAGAGAGAGAGAGAGAGAGAGAGAGAGAGAGAGAGAGAGAGAGAGAGAGAGAGAGAGAGAGAAAUUCAGCAACAAUUGCGCUGGUCCCCAAGUGCUUUAACCAAGGAAAGGGGCAACAAAGGGGCCGGUACAAGGACAUUGAUUAUACAUUAGAUUUUCUAAACAAAGUUUAUGUUCAUGUGUGAACAUAUAUGAGAAUGUUCACUUCUCUAUCUGUUCACUUACUGUGUGGGAGAAGGGAGAACAAUGAAAGAAAAAAAUGUCAGUUCCGAAUACAAGUACACAGCAAAAAGAUACAUAAACAUAUGUAUUUUGGAAAUUGGAAACAGCAAAAUCAGUUGCAAGUAACCUAUGCUAUUGAAAUGGAAUCUUUUUGAAAACACAUCAUACUUGUCAUGGAAGUGUGUUAAUACAUAAUCAUUUCAAUUUCAAGUUCCUUAGUAACACUCAUACUUGUCUAUCAAUGAAUUUAUGUUUUUCCCAACCAUGAUUGGGAGGAACUUACUUAAUUUCUGUCAUUUCUGUCAUUUCUGUCUAAUAUAUUUACAAAUUAAAACCACUGCACUUUCAGCAUAUUUUGCCCGUAGUAGUAUCUAGAUGGUGAGAAUCACAUACUAAGCGUUGCAGUCACUCUCAAUUGUCACAAUCAUGUUGUUUAACAAUGACAUCACAUUGACACGGUGUUGUUACAAAAUCUUAUGGCAUACUAACAAAUGAAUAUAAAAUUUUGAAAAAACAAGAGUUGAAUCAUAAACUUGCCAUUGUUGAGUUUUCACUAGUACGAGCUUCAACUGGACCAGAUGCUACUGCAUCUAAAAUCCCAUACAUCUCAAUAUUCCCAGCAAAAUUGUGCAGCAUGCACCUGUAAAGCAUAACACCAAUAAAUCACAUAAAAAGCGAGAGGAAAAAAAAUGGAAAAAAAAAAGCAGAACUUUCAUGUGGCUUAUGAACUUACAUUUAUUAGAUUCAGUAAUUGAUCAAAAUAUGUACAUGCAUAUAGAAUAAAUAACAAGUUUGAAAAGUGGAUUUCUCCAUGAACCUUGCAUGUAGGUACACAACAACACCUCAGAAUCUGGAGAAUGAGAUCGAACUUCUAUACGUGUUCUUAGGUGGAAAAUAUGCAGUUGUUUUGAUGGUUUCACCUACCUGCUUGAGUUAAAAGGAUAUGGGUUUGAAUGUUGGGCCAUUGGAUUUAUUCUAACUCAAGUAAUUGCAUUACACAGAAAGAACAGCAUUUCUCAUUUGUGAAUUUUAACGACUGCUGUCUUCCUGAUUUCUUUGUACCAUUCUGUCAUCAACCUUGAAGCAUCAAUAUCACACUCAAGCAGAAACCUUGCUAGCUUCAGUUCUUUACGAAGUUUCUUAUUAUUCAUUUGAGAUUAUGUUCACUUUAAGAUCCUAAUAUUUUUUAAGUGCCUUUCUGUCAUUAUUUUCAUAUUAUGAAAUAUAACCUCGAUAUAUAAAGCAGAAUGGAUUCAGAUGGGCUCUUUUAGGCUGAAAAAGGGAAAACAAAAGGACCUAACCAGCUCAAAUCAAAAUGCCAGCUCUGAUUGUGAAUGCAUGAAAACUUGUUGGAUAAUGAAGAAAAACCAGUCUCUGUAGUAUGUUUUGGAAUGAAAGGGCACAAUACACCUAAUGACAGUUUGGAAGUAAAUAGAGGUGAACCAAUAUGUAAGUAAAAAAACCAUUGAAUGCAUUUUGUAGUAAUCAAAGAUGGAUUGUUUUGUAAAUAGAAAAAACUCUCGUCAAAUGGUAGUGAACAUGGAUGCAAUUCACAAGUAUCUGGCAUGCUAGUUCUUGAUCAGCUAAAUGACAUCAUAUUAUUGGCAAUUAGAAAGAGAACUGUAACUUUCCAAAUGUAAGGAACACCAUAGAACUGCUCUGAAGUAAUCCAUAUAGGCUUCACUUCAGCAAAUAGAUCAAGGACAACCAGCCUUCCCAUAGGAACAGAAUGCAGAAGUGCCUGCAAACAAGCACAGGUUACAGUUAAUCCAGGGAACAGCAUAUGCAACAAAGGAUACGGAACUUAACCACAUUAAAGAUUCAAGAUUAGAUCAAAACUGUAACAUAUCAGUGGCAGAAAAACGCCUCAAACAUGAAUUACUAUAAAGUGGAGGUUGGCUUGGGUGUGUCUAUGCAUAUAUAUAGACAAGCUUUUGCAUGUAUAUGUGUACAUCCAUAAGCAAAGGUUAAAACCUUUGUAUUAAAGGAUAGGAAAGUUGUGAAAUGCUGCAGAUGAUGCAGAAAUUGUGAUACCAACAAACGAUUGCAAAAAUCAUGUAAGGAGCAUUGCAUAUGAGUUACCACAAGUCCCUUCAACAUCUAAAAGAAAACCUUUAUGUACAGUAGAGCAUGCAUUAAAUGGGUGCUGGUUAAAAUGAAAGAAGCAUACUUAUAGGCAAAGAUUAAAAUAUUAAAAAUUUAUGAAAUAUCAGUGGUUGGAUGUUACAGAAUUUUGGAAGGAAAUUCCAGAAAUUUUUUUUUAAUGGAAUUGAAAUUGAUCAAAAGCUCAUAGAAAUAUUGGGAAAAAAAAUUCAAAAAUGAUAAAACAAGCAAAUAAUACAUAGGCAAAAGCUGUUUUUUUUUUUAAGAAAACAAUACAUGUAUGAUAAACUUUAUGAUGUUGAACAAUAAUAUGCGGUAUUUGAAAACACAUUUAUUAUUAAAAUGAUCUGUCGAGUUUGGAAGGAUUUAAGUAUAUAAAAGAAAUAAUAAUAUAUGUAUGAUUAUUUUUUGUUUAUAUGUUCAUAAUUUCAUUUACAGGUUUAAGAAGAUUAUCAUGAAGGUUUUUAUAUUUCCAACUAGUGGUUUAAUGGACAUUGAAAAUAAGAUAAUUAAAUUUUUUUUUUUUACUGAAUUUUUAUUUUUAAUAUUUUAUUUUCUACACAAAUAUAAAAUUUUAGGGGAGACAAACUAAGUUGUAUAUAUUUUUUGUCCACUAAUAGUAUUAAAGUGGAAGUUAGCUUGAGGUAACUCCCCUAUUUCUUUUGAUUGGAGGGUAGGGUUCAAGUCCCUCUCCCUUAAAUUUUAAGCACAGCUCAUUUUUCAUUGAUGUGGUGAUAAAAUAACCUAAAUAUCAGUGAUUUAUCGAGAUAAAAUGGAGAAAAUUUGUGAUAUAUUGGCAAUUUUUGGCUGGCAGAAAUUUGGGAGCUGUUUCCAUAUCGAGGCUGACUGAAAUCCAAAAUUUUGCCAAUAUUUAGCCAAAGUUUGGUCUCAAUUUUGUGUGUGAAAACCUAGUCUUUUAUGUAUUAAUAUGAACUCUGAAGAUUUGGAGCAAAGCCAUGGGGAAAUUUCAUUGAGUCUCUCUCCAAGAGAACCAACAUGCUUUUCCAAAUAUGCACACAAUUGAUCCUAAUGAAUAGUUCCUACAUUCUUAUUUUAUUUGUUUUCACCAUACUCUUACUUAUUUUGCUAAGAAAAUUCAUGAUCGAAAAUUUUAAAACCUGACAUUUUCAAUGAUAUUCUUCUACAGGUUUAGGACUUCAAUUAUAGAGAAGAAAAGGGUCUAUAAAUUUCAUUGGCUCUAUUAAGUGCUCCAAUCUUAAACCUCAUUUUUAUCUUCAUCAAAGUUUACUUCAGUUUGAAGUUCUGAACACAAGCUCAAACAAAUUUAACAAAUGAGUGAAGAUUCAAACAUGCUCAUAUAGGGUGAUUAGAAGCAAAAUGAGGGGAGAAGAAAAUGACAAUUGUGGAAUGACCUUCAUUUGUGGAGGCCUCCAGAAUGGAUCAUACGAAAACAGCCAUCCCUACAGUAGAAAACCAGAACAGUUACAAUGUUGGAACACAAUGAAAGUUAAUGCUGACUGAACUCAAGACUAAUGGAUAGACUAUAUAAAAAAAGAUGGUCAAGACCAUGAUGGAGCAGUGACUAUGCAGAUCCAAUUCCAAAUAACUGAGAUUAACAUAAAACCAUAUUGCACAAGCUUCAUUUACUUGGUGUACUAAAUGAAGACAUUUUGUGGUUUUAGGAAAAGAACUUCAUAGAAAUUUAUCCUUCACCUGCAUUAGCCAGAUAGCAUUGCUAUCACCACUCUGCAUUCCUCUAAAUAUUGCUGCACCUAAUGAAGAGAUGUAUUCUGGGUCAUCAACAGGUGGAGUGUUCUCAUCGAAAGUAUCACUGAAAUAGAUUCAGCUAUAAUGGUUAUAAAAUAUGAUAUCACUCUCUGGAAGAAUAUUUUCUUAUUAUAUGCAAAGACAUAAAAGAAGAAAGAAAAAUAUCAGAGGAAAAGAGAAUUGCCCUUUAAUUAAUAUGUAACUUUGAUAUGUGUAUUUCUGUUCAUUUAAGGUGUGCAGCAAGUAGAGAACAGCUUAAUAUCUUUUAUGACUAUAUCAGGAUCUCUGGUUCUAAACCUGAUAGCAUUAUGCCAUUACUUGAAGUUAAGCUAACUGCCAAUACAAUGUAGUAAGCCGAAUCAUACCUUUUUCCAAGCCUAACCAUUUUACUUGCUAUUUAGCUCUUUACAAAUGUCUUGUCAGAGUUGCUCUGACUAUUUCUAACAUUCCGCUGAAAUUUGUAAUUUAAAUCACUAUAGAUGGUCAUAUAGUUACACAAAAAAAUGAGGGCUUAUUAAAUGUUCUACUCAUUUAUUUUCAUUAAUGACUGUUAGACUGGAAGUUUUAGAAUUUCACCCAAAAAAGACUUGAUCCCAACCACUUGGGGUGAACUACAUGAAUCCAGUUUUCUGUUCAAUUCUAUAGAGAGCCAUAUGUGCUACUCAAUAGUUGUCUAUCAUAAUUUUUUAGGAUAGGAAAAUAACAAUGAUGAAUUCACACCAGAAACACAAAACAAAACAACUACAGAGCUAAAUAGUCUCCCUACUGUCAACAAGUGCAAAAAAGAUGAAUAAGCGGAGCAUAAAUCCCCACCUGAACCAUGUAAACAAAGUCUGAAGAAGUACAUCCUUCAUCCCCAAGCUUGAUCACUCCUCAAUUUCAAAGGUUCUCCUACUAUGCCCUUUGCAGGCGAUCCAACAAAUACACAAAGGAACUGACCUCCACAUUGCCUUGCGCACACAACCCAUGAAACACUAACCAAGGAUAACAGCAAAGUCCAUAAUCCAGACGUCCAUUUGCAGUGGAUGGGAUAUGACCAGCAGACUCAUUCAUAUUCCACCUUCUCCUCAUAAAUUGGUCAGUAGUCAGAAUUUUCUACCAAGCUCAUUCCUAAUAAACCAAACAGACUAAGGGCUCUUGAAUUUCAAAUCAUCUUAGCCAGGAAUGAGGAGGCUGCAACCUACACUAGGGGCAAGCAAUAGGUUUUGAUGGAAAAGGAGGCCUUCUUAGCAAUAUUCCAAACUAAUCUAUCCUCUAGUUCACUACGGAAAAAAAGAUUCAGCAGUUGCAGCAGGGAAUCCACCUCAAUCAACUCCCUAUCCAAAAAAGUUCCUUCUAAAUCAGGGAUUCAACCGUUUCUCAUCCCAAAAUCUGCCACCAAAGCCUCCACAUUAGACACAAGAUUGAAGAGACCUGGAAAUCAAUCCUUUAAAGGGUCCUCACCCCUAUCUUGAAAAUCAUUUUCCAUCAAAUUUGAUCCACAUUCUCUUUUGCUCUUAUCCUUUCAACGCCUUUAACUUAAAGCCAAUCACUUUCUUAAGAAUAAUUACUUGAGCUUGAGUAUUUGGGUCUAUAUUCAGUUAGAAAAAUAGAUUGUAUGGCCACAUUUUAAUUUUCUCUCUUUUUUCUUUGGUCUUUUAACGGGAAAGAACUUUCAUGUUAAAAAUAGAUUAGGUACAGAAACUAUAGGGUCAAAGAAUUAGCACUUUUGGAGGAGAAAAGGGCAAGAUUGAAAACAUAUGAGGUCUGAAUAUCUCUCUCCAAAUGCUCUCCUCCUUUUUCACUCCAUAUUUCUUUCUUUAAGAACCACAACCAAGCCACCAGCAAGGGAAGUAUUUGGAUUUGGCUUUAUGGACCAAAUCAUGAUCAUGGUUUGAGACAAUCUCUUGACCUGAUGUCCACCCUCCAUGAACUGAUACCACAGGGUGGACAUUUUUGCAUGCAGAUGCAUUUACUGAUUGAACAUAGAAUGGAAAAUGACAACAAAAUCAGAAUAAACCUGUAGAUACAAAAUGCAUUAACUGAACCAAAAAAGAAAGAAGAAAAUGACAACACAAUCAGAAUAAACCUGAAGAUACAAAAUGCAUUAACUGAACCAAAAAAGAAAGAAGAAAAUGACAAAGAUAAAUAUUGGCCUUUACAAGAGAUCAAGCCACAAUAUGGUGAAUGGAUAACUGAUACAGUCAGCAAUGCUAAAUUAAUCACAACUGUAUCCAAAGUUUAAAAAAAAAUGAUAGAUAAUACCAGCCUCUUUCAACCAGUGAAGACUCAUGGAAAUGGAAGUAAAAGAGAACAGUGUUUAACAAAUGAUUCUAGAACAGGGAGAAUAUCUUACCAGUUAUAUAUAUGUCCAGUCCUUCCAUAUUCUGAUCAAAAAGGUUAUUCCAAAUGAAAAAUAGAAACAAGAAAAUUUUUUAGCAUGAGUUAUACAAGUAUGGUAGCCAACUACAUGCAGAAACAAACUUAAAAGGGGUUCGUGAUGAUCUAGAUGAGUUCACCUUUCAAUUGUUGCUGGAUGAAAGCUUUCCCAAUUUCAAUGAAUAAGGGAUCAGUUGCAUCAAGAAGAUAAGUGCAGCACCAUCUGGGAUUACCCCCAACAGUAAACCUAGGAGGAUGAAGAAAGCAACCAUUUUACUCAAAACGGACCACAAAUAACUACUAAUUAUUUUAAACUUAAAGGAUACCACUCAAUGUGGUUAUCCAGGUGUAGGAAGGGGGGCUUGUAGGUGCGGAGAUGUGGCAGGGAGGUGGUACUGGGAGGGUAUGAUGUCCUCUAAUCAACAUAUUAGACUGAUGUCAAACAUAUGAUUAUCAAGAUUCAAGAAAAAAUAUGUAACAGGUAUAUUGGGGCCAGCAUAAAAAUUCUAAAAUUCCCCUGAGCAUGUACACUUUUUUCCAAGUAAAUUUGUUUUCACAUGUGAAGUUGCCUUUGAAUGGCACCUCAAUAAAUAUUUCCUAAUUUCCAAACCCUGAAAUCAAUUCCCAACCUUCUCUCCCCUCCCCUCACACACCCCCACACCAACUAACACACACACACCCUGCUGAAAAAAGGCACAGGAAAAAAGAAAUGGCAGAAAGAACUUCCAAGUUCAGAACUUGUUCUGAAUGACUGAACCUUCAAAACCCACUGACAUUAACACCAAUUGACAGGAACACUAGGAGAUGUUUCUCCAACUUAGUGUGUCUAACGAAGUAAGAACAAUUAUUUCAUUUUAAAACAAGGUCAAAAACAUUCAUUGCAAUUUAAAUAACAGAAAGCAGUACUCACCAAUUCCCCAAGCGUGUUAUUUUUGCUGAUGGAAAUAUAUAUUUCAAUGCUGCAGGAACAUUUCCAGAGAAGGCUGGAAGGACUGAGAGGCACAUAGGAACAGAAUUAAGAUCUUCAACAAAUAGAGAAUGCUCUCAAAAAAUACAUGAAUG
This 10661-nucleotide long non-coding RNA is filed under the name Vitis vinifera (wine grape). RNAcentral describes it as "long non-coding RNA (VVIN_LNC005733)". The record is from RNAcentral. Lineage: Eukaryota; Viridiplantae; Streptophyta; Magnoliopsida; Vitales; Vitaceae.